Small nucleolar RNA from Beta vulgaris subsp. vulgaris (sugar beet), 108 nucleotides. NCBI's taxonomy places the organism in Eukaryota, Viridiplantae, Streptophyta, Magnoliopsida, Caryophyllales, Amaranthaceae. The record is from RefSeq and is a predicted model, not a curated record.
UAACCAUGGUGAGGAAAAGAUCUUCGAAGCUCCUUAAACCUAUCCCAAGCUCCAUAUAAUGUCCCAUCCUCCUUUUGGGUGAAAUUAGCUAUUUUCCUCCUAGAUUCA